RNAcentral lists this small RNA (577 nucleotides) under Arabidopsis thaliana (thale cress). Its description in RNAcentral is "ATSL023970". The record is from RNAcentral. Lineage: Eukaryota; Viridiplantae; Streptophyta; Magnoliopsida; Brassicales; Brassicaceae.
UAAAAUUAUAAAUAUUUAAAGCAUUUUUUAAAGAUAAACUUUAUAAAAAGUUUUUAAAAUUAUAAUAUUUAACUUUUGAUAAAGUUAUAAUAUUUAUAAUUUCUUGAAACAUUUUAAAGUUUCAAUUCUUUAAAAUAAAAAAUCCGAGUAAAAUCGGAUAACUAUUUUAAUUUUAGACGCCUGAUAAAUCAAGCUUCCUGCUCAUUCGUAAUCAGAAUCAUUUUGGUCCUUUUAUAAUAUGGGUCUGAACUAUUGUCCAAUUUUUCUAAGCGAUGUGGGACAUUGUACACAUAUUAUUUCUUCAUAGGUUGAAUAAUAUAUUUCCGUUUUAAAAAAUUUGAAUUACAUCAUAUUCAGAAAAAAUAUAAUAUUUUAUUAACUAUAUAUAUUUUAUAUAAAUUCAAAAUAAAUAAAGUAUAAGAUCAAAUAAAAAUGAAAGAAGAAUUAUAUAUUUAUGUUUAAAUUAGGUAGAAAUAUUUUAGGAAAUUAGUUAAGGUAAAUAAGAAAUAUGGUUAGUUUAGAGAUAUUGUUUAUAUUAUGUAAUUAAAUCAUUAAUUUCGUUUUUAAUUAUUAUUUU